UGGCGGACGGGUGAGUAACGCGUGGGUAACCUGCCUCAUACAGGGGGAUAACAGUUAGAAAUGACUGCUAAUACCGCAUAAGACCACAGCACCGCAUGGUGCGGGGGUAAAAACUCCGGUGGUAUGAGAUGGACCCGCGUCUGAUUAGCUAGUUGGUAAGGUAACGGCUUACCAAGGCGACGAUCAGUAGCCGACCUGAGAGGGUGACCGGCCACAUUGGGACUGAGACACGGCCCAA
Molecule: ribosomal RNA, 238 nt
Filed under: uncultured bacterium
Lineage: Bacteria
Description: partial 16S ribosomal RNA
Rfam family: Bacterial small subunit ribosomal RNA
Source: RNAcentral